This 492-nucleotide ribosomal RNA is filed under the name uncultured bacterium. RNAcentral describes it as "partial 16S ribosomal RNA". It matches the Rfam family "Bacterial small subunit ribosomal RNA", at positions 29 to 507 of the family's 1533-position model. The record is from RNAcentral.
AGUGAACGCUGGCGGUAUGCCUAACACAUGCAAGUCGAACGGCAGCACAGUAAGAGCUUGCUCUUACGGGUGGCGAGUGGCGGACGGGUGAGGAAUACAUCGGAAUCUACUUUUUCGUGGGGGAUAACGUAGGGAAACUUACGCUAAUACCGCAUACGAUCUACGGGUGAAAGCAGGGGAUCUUCGGACCUUUCGCGAUUGAAUGAGCCGAUGUCGGAUUAGCUAGUUGGCUGGGUAAAGGCCCACCAAGGCGACGAUCCGUAGCUGGUCUGAGAGGAUGAUCAGCCACACUGGAACUGAGACACGGUCCAGACUCCUACGGGAGGCAGCAGUGGGGAAUAUUGGACAAUGGGCGCAAGCCUGAUCCAGCCAUACCGCGUGGGUGAAGAAGGCCUUCGGGUUGUAAAGCCCUUUUGUUGGGAAAGAAAAGCAGCAGGUUAAUACCCCGCUGUUCUGACGGUACCCAAAGAAUAAGCACCGGCUAACUUCGUG